Molecule: ribosomal RNA, 465 nt
Filed under: uncultured bacterium
Lineage: Bacteria
Description: bacterial SSU rRNA
Rfam family: Bacterial small subunit ribosomal RNA
Source: RNAcentral
CCAGACUCCUACGGGAGGCAGCAGUGAGGAAUAUUGGUCAAUGGGCGAGAGCCUGAACCAGCCAAGUCGCGUGAAGGAUGACGGCCCUACGGGUUGUAAACUUCUUUUGUCAGGGAGCAAUUGAGUCCACGUGUGGGCUUAGCGAGAGUACCUGAAGAAAAAGCAUCGGCUAACUCCGUGCCAGCAGCCGCGGUAAUACGGAGGAUGCGAGCGUUAUCCGGAUUUAUUGGGUUUAAAGGGUGCGUAGGCGGAAUAACAAGACAGGGGUAAAAAUCGGGGGCCACACCCCGACGAGCCGUUGAAACUGGCUUGCUAGAGUGGGCGAGAAGUAUGCGGAAUGCGUGGUGUAGCGGUGAAAUGCAUAGAUAUCACGCAGAACUCCGAUUGCGAAGGCAGCAUACCGGCGCCCAACUGACGCUCAGGCACGAAAGCGUGGGUAUCGAACAGGAUUAGAUACCCCGGUAA